UCUCGAUUGGUCUAGUGGUAAGGAUACCUGCUUGUCAUUUGAUGAUUCUUGAAUGGUGCAAACCGCAGGUGGCCGGGGUUCGAUUCCCCGAUCGAGAG
This is a non-coding RNA of Nemania sp. FL0031, 98 nucleotides long. Lineage: Eukaryota; Fungi; Ascomycota; Sordariomycetes; Xylariales; Xylariaceae. The record is from the annotation of a GenBank genome assembly.